CCUACGGGUGGCUGCAGUGAGGAAUAUUGGUCAAUGGGCGUGAGCCUGAACCAGCCAAGUAGCGUGAAGGAUGACUGCCCUACGGGUUGUAAACCUCUUUUAUAAAGGAAUAAAGUGAGGCACGUGUGCCCUGUUGUAUGUACUUUAUGAAUAAGGAUCGGCUAAAUCCGGGCCAGCAGCCGCGGUUAUACGGAGGAUCCGAGCGUUAUCCGGAUUUAUUGGGUUUUAAGGGUGCGUAGGCGGCCUUUUAAGUCAGCGGUGAAAGUCUGUGGCUCAACCCUAGAAGUGCCGUUGAAACUGGGAGGCUUGAGUAUGUUUGAGGCAGGCGGAAUGCGUGGUGUAGCGGUGAAAUGCUUAGAUAUCACGCAGAACCCCGAUUGCGAAGGCAGCCUGCCGGGCCCUGACUGACGCUGAUGCACGAAAGCGUGGGGAUCAAACAGGAUUAGAUACCCGAGUAGUC
This 460-nucleotide ribosomal RNA is filed under the name uncultured bacterium. RNAcentral describes it as "partial 16S ribosomal RNA". It matches the Rfam family "Bacterial small subunit ribosomal RNA", at positions 338 to 795 of the family's 1533-position model. The record is from RNAcentral.